AACGAACGCUGGCGGCAUGCCUAACACAUGCAAGUCGAACGAGACCUUCGGGUCUAGUGGCGCACGGGUGCGUAACGCGUGGGAACCUGCCCUUAGGUUCGGAAUAACUCCCCGAGAGGGGUGCUAAUACCGGAUAAUGUCUUCGGACCAAAGAUUUAUCGCCUUUGGAUGGGCCCGCGUUGGAUUAGCUAGUUGGUAGGGUAAAAGCCUACCAAGGCGACGAUCCAUAGCUGGUCUGAGAGGAUGAUCAGCCACACUGGGACUGAGACACGGCCCAGACUCCUACGGGAGGCAGCAGUGGGGAAUAUUGGACAAUGGGCGAAAGCCUGAUCCAGCAAUGCCGCGUGAGUGAUGAAGGCCUUAGGGUUGUAAAGCUCUUUUACCCGGGAUGAUAAUGACAGUACCGGGAGAAUAAGCGCCGGCUAACUCCGUG
Molecule: ribosomal RNA, 433 nt
Filed under: uncultured bacterium
Lineage: Bacteria
Description: partial 16S ribosomal RNA
Rfam family: Bacterial small subunit ribosomal RNA
Source: RNAcentral